Molecule: long non-coding RNA, 950 nt
Organism: Vigna angularis (adzuki bean)
Lineage: Eukaryota; Viridiplantae; Streptophyta; Magnoliopsida; Fabales; Fabaceae
Exons: 3
Source: RefSeq, a predicted model, not a curated record
CAUGUCCAUUAUAUAGAGUAGUGCUUUAUAUACUAAUUUUCAUAUCAGAAUAGAACAACGCUACUAUUAUUUUGGCCACAAUAAACAUUUCACUCUGAAAUGCCACAAAAUAAAUGUAUGCUUAAAUAACAUUAUUCAUUAUAAUAUCUCUUUUUUCUUACAAAAAUCAGUUGACUCUUUGACCAGUUAAUAUGUUUGAGCAAGAUGAAGUCGUUAAGUGAGUGGAUAUUGGUAGGUCAAAUGAGUCAAAGAGUGCCCUCCCUCAAGAAAGUUAACAGUCUUCCUCCAUCACCAUGAACUAGUGAUUUUAAAUAAGAAUUAGUUUCCCCCAGAAUUGCUCUUCAGCAAACCACAGUUCUCACUCCAUGGCAAAACAGCCAUGUGAGCUGAAAGAAAAGAGUAAGAGAAAUGUUUGCAUGCCUCUCCGUCAGUCCAGGGUCCCAGACAUGAUCCUGGUCUGGCAAGUUGACAUUGCGAGAGUUUUGAGCUAAAACUGCAAAUGGUGCUCUUGACUGCUGAUUUAUUGGAAUUCCGUUUUGUUUAUGUGAUCUGUCUCCAAAGUUGAUAUUUUCUUCAGCAUCGGGGAUAUGUGACCUCCUAUAUUGCAGCAGGAUGACAUGUUAAUAUUCUCCUUAAUAGAAUUUGCAUACUUUGAUCUCCUAGUUCACCAUACCUCAUCUUUUUAAUAGCUACUGCAGAUUCUGAUGCUACAUCUGUAUCACACCUGUGCUGGAGAAAAGUCCUUUUGUUAUUUGAAUUGAUGUAUGAAGAGCUGUUCUCUUUUGCUAAGGCUUCAUAUUUUGCUCUCUUUUUGCACAGUGUGGAGAAACGGUUUUUCACAGCAUUAUCCGUUCUGCACCAACGCAUUUGAAGCAUAGCAAUAAGACACUGUUGUAACAAAAACUGAUUUUGUAUUUCCAUAAAGAGAAAAAUGCAUGCAAUUCUGAUUA